RNAcentral lists this ribosomal RNA (306 nucleotides) under Baiami sp. CG291. RNAcentral's name for it is "partial 12S ribosomal RNA". The record is from RNAcentral. Lineage: Eukaryota; Metazoa; Arthropoda; Arachnida; Araneae; Stiphidiidae.
AGGUAGUACAAUAAACCUAUAUAUUUUGGCGGCAUUUCAUCUAAUUAGAGGAACUUGUACUUUAAUCGAUAAUACACGUUAACUUAUACUAAUAUUACAAUUUAUAUAUCGCCAUUUUUAAGAUUUAAUUAAAAAAUUUUUUCUUAAUAAUUAUUAAAAAAUUAGGUCAAGGUGUAAUUCAUAUAUUAGAAAGAAAUGAGUUACAUUAAAUGCUAUUUAAAGAUAUUUAAAAAUAUUUUAAAUUAAAUAAGGAUUUAAAAGUAAAUAAUUAAUAAUAAUUAUUUUUGAAAUAGAUAAUAAAUGUGC